RNAcentral lists this ribosomal RNA (492 nucleotides) under uncultured bacterium. Its description in RNAcentral is "partial 16S ribosomal RNA". It matches the Rfam family "Bacterial small subunit ribosomal RNA", at positions 29 to 507 of the family's 1533-position model. The record is from RNAcentral.
AGUGAACGCUGGCGGUAGGCCUAACACAUGCAAGUCGAACGGCAGCACAGUAAGAGCUUGCUCUUACGGGUGGCGAGUGGCGGACGGGUGAGGAAUACAUCGGAAUCUACUUUUUCGUGGGGGAUAACGUAGGGAAACUUACGCUAAUACCUCAUACCACCUACGGGUGAAUUCAGGGGAUCUUCGGACCUUGGGCGAACUCAUGAGCCGAUGUCGGAUUAGCUAGUUGGCGGGGUAAAGGCCCACCAAGGCGACGAUCCGUAGCUGGUCUGAGAGGAUGAUCAGCCACACUGGAACUGAGACACGGCCCAGACUCCUACGGAAGGCAGCAGUGGGGAAUAUUGGACAAAGGGCGCAAGCCUGAUCCAGCCAUACCGCGUGGGUGAAGAAGGCCUUCGGGUUGUAAAGCCCUUUUGUUGGGAAAGAAAAGCAGCAGGUUAAUACCCCGCUGUUCUGACGGUACCCAAAGAAUAAGCACCGGCUAACUUCGUG